This 129-nucleotide ribosomal RNA is filed under the name Pseudorhodoferax soli. Lineage: Bacteria; Pseudomonadati; Pseudomonadota; Betaproteobacteria; Burkholderiales; Comamonadaceae. The record is from RNAcentral.
GCAGCAACAAGUUAUGCCUGAUGACCAUAGCAAGUUGGUACCACUCCUUCCCAUCCCGAACAGGACAGUGAAACGACUUUGCGCCGAUGAUAGUGCGGGUUCCCGUGUGAAAGUAGGUCAUCGUCAGGC